UAAGACUUGCGAAACACUAUAACGCAUACCCUGAUUGCAACUCAAGUGCUUUAACUUAAGCUAAAGCCUC
This 70-nucleotide transfer RNA is filed under the name Microlophus atacamensis. Its description in RNAcentral is "tRNA-Ala". Lineage: Eukaryota; Metazoa; Chordata; Lepidosauria; Squamata; Tropiduridae. The record is from RNAcentral.